UGGGGAAUAUUGGACAAUGGAGGAAACUCUGAUCCAGCAAUUCUGUGUGUGUGAAGAAGGUUUUAGGACUGUAAAACACUUUUAGUAGGGAAGAAAAAAAUGACGGUACCUACAGAAGAAGCAACGGCUAAAUACGUGCCAGCAGCCGCGGUAAUACGUAUGUUGCGAGCGUUAUCCGGAAUUAUUAGGCUUAAAGGGCAUCUAGGCGGUAAGACAAGUUGAAGGUGAAAACCUGUGGCUCAACCAUAGGCUUGCCUACAAAACUGUUGAACUAGAGUACUGGAAAGGUGGGUGGAACUACACGAGUAGAGGUGAAAUUCGUAGAUAUGUGUAGGAAUGCCGAUGAUGAAGAUAACUCACUGGACAGAAACUGACGCUGAAGUGCGAAAGCUAGGGGAGCAAACAGG
RNAcentral lists this ribosomal RNA (407 nucleotides) under Verrucomicrobiota bacterium. RNAcentral describes it as "Verrucomicrobia bacterium partial 16S ribosomal RNA". It matches the Rfam family "Bacterial small subunit ribosomal RNA", at positions 355 to 776 of the family's 1533-position model. The record is from RNAcentral. Lineage: Bacteria; Pseudomonadati; Verrucomicrobiota.